This 284-nucleotide ribosomal RNA is filed under the name uncultured soil bacterium. RNAcentral's name for it is "partial 16S ribosomal RNA". It matches the Rfam family "Bacterial small subunit ribosomal RNA", at positions 26 to 339 of the family's 1533-position model. The record is from RNAcentral.
AGAGCGAACGCUGGCGGCAUGCUUAACACAUGCAAGUCGCACGGGCAGCAAUGUCAGUGGCGGACGGGUGAGUAACGCGUAGGAACGUGUCCUGAGGUGGGGGACAACCCCGGGAAACUGGGGCUAAUACCGCAUAUGGGCUGAGGCCCAAAGCCGAGAGGCGCCUUUGGAGCGGCCUGCGUCCGAUUAGGUAGUUGGUGGGUAAAGGCCUACCAAGCCUGCGAUCGGUAGCUGGUCUGAGAGGACGACCAGCCACACUGGGACUGAGACACGGCCCAGACUCC